Molecule: ribosomal RNA, 280 nt
Filed under: Escherichia coli
Lineage: Bacteria; Pseudomonadati; Pseudomonadota; Gammaproteobacteria; Enterobacterales; Enterobacteriaceae
Description: partial 23S ribosomal RNA
Rfam family: Bacterial large subunit ribosomal RNA
Source: RNAcentral
GGUUAAGCGACUAAGCGUACACGGUGGAUGCCCUGGCAGUCAGAGGCGAUGAAGGACGUGCUAAUCUGCGAUAAGCGUCGGUAAGGUGAUAUGAACCGUUAUAACCGGCGAUUUCCGAAUGGGGAAACCCAGUGUGAUUCGUCACACUAUCAUUAACUGAAUCCAUAGGUUAAUGAGGCGAACCGGGGGAACUGAAACAUCUAAGUACCCCGAGGAAAAGAAAUCAACCGAGAUUCCCCCAGUAGCGGCGAGCGAACGGGGAGCAGCCCAGAGCCUGAAU